GAUGAACGCUAGCUACAGGCUUAACACAUGCAAGUCGAGGGUAAACGAUAGAGAAAGCUUGCUUUUUCUAGGCGUCGACCGGCGCACGGGUGAGUAACGCGUAUCCAACCUGCCCACCACUUGGGGAUAACCUUGCGAAAGUAAGACUAAUACCCAAUGACAUCUCUAGAAGACAUCUGAAGGAGAUUAAAGAUUUAUCGGUGAUGGAUGGGGAUGCGUCUGAUUAGCUUGUUGGCGGGGUAACGGCCCACCAAGGCGACGAUCAGUAGGGGUUCUGAGAGGAAGGUCCCCCACAUUGGAACUGAGACACGGUCCAAACUCCUACGGGAGGCAGCAGUGAGGAAUAUUGGUCAAUGGGCGAGAGCCUGAACCAGCCAAGUAGCGUGCAGGAUGACGGCCCUAUGGGUUGUAAACUGCUCUUAUAAGGGAACAAAGUGAGCCUCGUGAGGCUUUUUGCAUGUACCUUAUGAAUAAGGACCGGCUAAUUCCGUGCCAGCAGCCGCGGUAA
Molecule: ribosomal RNA, 508 nt
Filed under: uncultured bacterium
Lineage: Bacteria
Description: partial 16S ribosomal RNA
Rfam family: Bacterial small subunit ribosomal RNA
Source: RNAcentral